RNAcentral lists this ribosomal RNA (253 nucleotides) under uncultured bacterium. RNAcentral describes it as "partial 16S ribosomal RNA". It matches the Rfam family "Bacterial small subunit ribosomal RNA", at positions 524 to 776 of the family's 1533-position model. The record is from RNAcentral.
UACAGAGGGGGCGAGCGUUAUUCGGAAUUAUUGGGCGUAAAGGGCGCGUAGGCGGCCUUGUAAGUCUUGGGUGAAAUCCCUCAGCUCAACUGAGGAACUGCCUCGGAUACUGCAGGGCUUGAGGCCGGGAGAGGGUAGUGGAAUUCCCAGUGUAGCGGUGAAAUGCGUAGAUAUUGGGAGGAACACCAGUGGCGAAGGCGACUACCUGGCCCAUUCUUGACGCUGAGGCGCGAAAGCUAGGGGAGCGAACGGG